UACGGGGGGGGUAAGCGUUGUUCGGAAUUACUGGGCGUAAAGGGCUCGUAGGUGGCCAACUAAGUCAGACGUGAAAUCCCCAGGCUCAACUUGGGAACUGCGUCUGAUACUGGAUGGCUUGAAUUCGGGAGAGGGAUGCAGAAUUCCAGGUGUAGCGGUGAAAUGCGUAGAUAUCUGGAGGAAUACCGGUGGCGAAGGCGGCAUCCUGGACCGAGAUUGACACUGAUGAGCGAAAGCUAGGGGAGCAAACGGG
This 253-nucleotide ribosomal RNA is filed under the name uncultured bacterium. RNAcentral describes it as "partial 16S ribosomal RNA". It matches the Rfam family "Bacterial small subunit ribosomal RNA", at positions 524 to 776 of the family's 1533-position model. The record is from RNAcentral.